This 1020-nucleotide ribosomal RNA is filed under the name uncultured bacterium. RNAcentral's name for it is "bacterial SSU rRNA". It matches the Rfam family "Bacterial small subunit ribosomal RNA", at positions 1 to 997 of the family's 1533-position model. The record is from RNAcentral.
UAGAGUUUGAUCCUGGCUCAGGACGAACGCUGGCGGCGUGCCUAAUACAUGCAAGUUAGAACGCUGAAGAGAGGAGCUUGCUCUUCUUGGAUGAGUUGCGAACGGGUGAGUAACGCGUAGGUAACCUGCCUUGUAGCGGGGGAUAACUAUUGGAAACGAUAGCUAAUACCGCAUAACAAUGGAUGACACAUGUCAUUUAUUUGAAAGGGGCAAUUGCUCCACUACAAGAUGGACCUGCGUUGUAUUAGCUAGUAGGUGAGGUAAUGGCUCACCUAGGCGACGAUACAUAGCCGACCUGAGAGGGUGAUCGGCCACACUGGGACUGAGACACGGCCCAGACUCCUACGGGAGGCAGCAGUAGGGAAUCUUCGGCAAUGGGGGCAACCCUGACCGAGCAACGCCGCGUGAGUGAAGAAGGUUUUCGGAUCGUAAAGCUCUGUUGUAAGUCAAGAACGGGUGUGAGAGUGGAAAGUUCACACUGUGACGGUAGCUUACCAGAAAGGGACGGCUAACUACGUGCCAGCAGCCGCGGUAAUACGUAGGUCCCGAGCGUUGUCCGGAUUUAUUGGGCGUAAAGCGAGCGCAGGCGGUUUGAUAAGUCUGAAGUUAAAGGCUGUGGCUCAACCAUAGUUCGCUUUGGAAACUGUCAAACUUGAGUGCAGAAGGGGAGAGUGGAAUUCCCAUGUGUAGCGGUGAAAUGCGUAGAUAUAUGGAGGAACCACCCGGUGGCGAAAGCGGCUCUUCUGGUCUGUAANCUGACCGCUGAGGCUCGAAAGCGUGGGGAGCGAACAGGAUUAGAUACCCUGGUAGUCCACGCCGUAAACGAUGAGUGCUAGGUGUUGGAUCCUUUCCGGGGAUUCAGUGCCGAAGCCAACGCAUUAAGCACUCCGCCUGGGGGAGUACGACCGCAAGGUUGAAACUCAAGGGAAUUGACGGGGGCCCGCACAAGCGGUGGAGCAUGUGGUUUUAAUUCCNAAGCAACNCGAAAAAACCUUACCAGGUCUUGACAUCCCGAUGCUA